Molecule: ribosomal RNA, 465 nt
Filed under: uncultured bacterium
Lineage: Bacteria
Description: partial 16S ribosomal RNA
Rfam family: Bacterial small subunit ribosomal RNA
Source: RNAcentral
GACGAACGCUGGCGGCGUGCUUAACACAUGCAAGUCGUACGGUAAGGCCCUUUCGGGGGUACACGAGUGGCGAACGGGUGAGUAACACGUGAGUAACCUGCCCACAACUUUGGGAUAACGCUAGGAAACUGGUGCUAAUACUGGAUAUGUGCUCCUGCUGCAUGGUGGGGGUUGGAAAGCUCCGGCGGUUGUGGAUGGACUCGCGGCCUAUCAGCUUGUUGGUGGGGUAGUGGCCUACCAAGGCGGCGACGGGUAGCCGGCCUGAGAGGGUGACCGGCCACAUUGGGACUGAGAUACGGCCCAGACUCCUACGGGAGGCAGCAGUGGGGAAUAUUGCACAAGGGGCGCAAGCCUGAUGCAGCAACGCCGCGUGCGGGAUGACGGCCUUCGGGUUGGAAACCGCUUUCAGCAGGGACGAAGCUUUUUGUGACGGUACCUGCAGAAGAAGCACCGGCUAACUACGUG